UUUGCUGACGAGUGGCGGACGGGUGAGUAAUGUCUGGGAAACUGCCUGAUGGAGGGGGAUAACUACUGGAAACGGUAGCUAAUACCGCAUAACGUCGCAAGACCAAAGAGGGGGACCUUAGGGCCUCUUGCCAUCGGAUGUGCCCAGAUGGGAUUAGCUAGUAGGUGGGGUAACGGCUCACCUAGGCGACGAUCCCUAGCUGGUCUGAGAGGAUGACCAGCCACACUGGAACUGAGACACGGUCCAGACUCCUACGGGAGGCAGCAGUGGGGAAUAUUGCACAAUGGGCGCAAGCCUGAUGCAGCCAUGCCGCGUGUAUGAAGAAGGCCUUCGGGUUGUAAAGUACUUUCAGCGGGGAGGAAGGGAGUAAAGUUAAUACCUUUGCUCAUUGACGUUACCCGCAGAAGAAGCACCGGCUAACUCCGUGCCAGCAGCCGCGGUAAUACGGAGGGUGCAAGCGUUAAUCGGAAUUACUGGGCGUAAAGCGCACGCAGGCGGUUUGUUAAGUCAGAUGUGAAAUCCCCGGGCUCAACCUGGGAACUGCAUCUGAUACUGGCAAGCUUGAGUCUCGUAGAGGGGGGUAGAAUUCCAGGUGUAGCGGUGAAAUGCGUAGAGAUCUGGAGGAAUACCGGUGGCGAAGGCGGCCCCCUGGACGAACACUGACGCUC
RNAcentral lists this ribosomal RNA (668 nucleotides) under Enterobacteriaceae bacterium HGB0138. RNAcentral describes it as "bacterial SSU rRNA". It matches the Rfam family "Bacterial small subunit ribosomal RNA", at positions 84 to 748 of the family's 1533-position model. Lineage: Bacteria; Pseudomonadati; Pseudomonadota; Gammaproteobacteria; Enterobacterales; Enterobacteriaceae. The record is from RNAcentral.